This 69-nucleotide transfer RNA is filed under the name Marmota monax (woodchuck). RNAcentral describes it as "tRNA.Ala". It matches the Rfam family "tRNA". Rfam says of the family: Transfer RNA (tRNA) molecules are approximately 80 nucleotides in length. Their secondary structure includes four short double-helical elements and three loops (D, anti-codon, and T loops). Lineage: Eukaryota; Metazoa; Chordata; Mammalia; Rodentia; Sciuridae. The record is from RNAcentral.
GGGUUGUAGCUCAGUGGUAGAGCGCUUGCCUUGCAUGCGUGGGGCACUGAGUUCGAUCCUCAGCACCCA